GUCGCCCAGGCUGGAGUGCAGUGGCACUAUCUCGGCUCACUGCAAGCUCCGCCUCCCAGGUUCAGGCCAUUCUCCUGCCUCAGCCUCCCAAGUAGCUGGGACUACUGGCACCUGUCACAAAGCCCAGCUAAUUUUUUUUGUAUUUUUAGUAGAGACGGGGUUUCACCGUGUUAGCCAGGAUGGUCUCAAUCUCCUGACCUUGUGAUCUGCCCACCUCGGCCUCCCAAACUGCUGGAAUUGUAGGUGUGAGCCACUGCGCCCGGCUGGGGCCAUGUGUUUUUAUAAAAAUAUCUACAUGAGUCACUUAGGAUGCAUUCAGUUACAGGGAAUAGAAAACUCAAUUUAAUUGGCUUCAACAAGCAAAUGUGUUGGUUCAUAUAGCCAGAAACUUCAAAAGUUAAGACAAGUUUUGGUGUUAGUUUAAUUUGGCAGCUCAGAAAUUUCUUUAAGGACUGAAUUUCUUUUCAUAUAUCUUUUCUGGGAUAUCUGCUUCAUCCCAAAGCUGGGUUCCUCCAGUGAUCGAAACAUGGCUACCAACAGUCUCCAGAAACACCUCUUCCAACCCGAGGAGUGAGCGUCUCCUCCCCAGCCACUGGGCAGAGUUCUAGGAUUCCCUCUGAUUGGACCAUGUUGAUCAUGUGCCUUUCCUGGGGCUGGGGACUGUCCUACGUUGAUUGGCUUAGAUCUGGCUUAUGCGCUGGUUCCUGAAAUAAACACCGUGUCAAGAGUAGGAUAUACUUGCAGUUUAAUUUAGCCAAACCUGGACCUAUGCUGGAGCUGAGGAUGGAGCAAAUACCAGCAAAACUGCCUAAAUGUUCCCCAGUGCUGUGGGGGUGGAACGGACGCUGAGAAGCUCACCCUAAUAUCCAAUUCACCAUGGAAAAAAGACAGGAAGGAUAUACAGCAAAGUGCCCACGACAGUUAUUUUCAAGUGGUGAUAUUAUGGGGAAUUUUUAUUUUCUUUUUUACGCUUAUCUGUAUUUUACAUUUUUGACAACAAGCAUAUAUUACUUGAAUAACUUCAAAGAGAAAUGAAAGCUAUAAAUAUGAAGAAAAGCUGGUAUAUAACACUAGCAAGUAAUUAACAGCUUGAGGGAUUUAAAGCAGACGUGUUGGCAAACAGGAAACAUGAAUUUUCAGAAUGGUACCAACGGUGCCUUGCAGAAGCUUCCAACUGCCUUUCUCUUGCCCCUGUUAGGCAAUUCCGUCGUUUCUACAGACUUAAUCUGAGAUCUCUGAAGGCUAGUCUGGCUUAAAACUACCAGUUUCAGCGGCUUGCAAUUUUCUCUUAUAUUUGGGUGGGGAAGAUUUUUCAGUUUUCCCUUAGAGACACUUUCCCUUGUGGGGCAUGAUAGUGUGUUCCUCGUUGCAGAAGGACCCCUGUAUGCAGAAGUAGAGGCGCUGGCCUCAGGCUCCUCCACUUCCUCUUGGACAGAAGACGCUGAGCAUUUUUUCAGGAAGUGGUCACCCCAGUGGUCCCCGGCUUUCUCAGACUUCCUGCAGCUCUCUACACAGUGAAUCACAGUGAGACACUGGCAGCAGGCACCACGGAAGGGACCCUCAAAUCUGAAGGCUCAAGGUCCUGGGAAAAGAUGAAGUGGAGCAUGCCUCUUGUUUCCUCCUAUUAGAUGCUGAGUGUUGGAAGUUCUUCCUAGGAUUCACAAAGAAACUCCUGCUCUUCUUCCACAUACUUUUUCCUGGGAAAGAAAACUUGUUUCACUGGCAGAAAAGAUCCCCACUGUUAAAGUGAGGUAAAGAAGAUUCUUGCUUCCUCUUUACGCGUCCGCCAUGAUUGUAAGUUUCCUGAGGCUUCCCCAGCCAUGCUGAACUAGAUGAGGUUUUGCCAUGUUACCCAGGCUGGUCUUCAACUCCUGGACUCAAGCGAUCCACCUGCCUCGGCCUCCUAAAGUGCUGGGAUUUCAGGUGUGAGCCACUGUGCCCAGCCCGAAGAAGCUUUAUCUGAUCUGAACCUGAUUUAGAUAAGGAGGUCCUGGACUUUGUUCCAAUGCUGCAGAGAGUGAGACUUCUGUGGGGAGAGGAGUGUCCUUUGCAUUUGGGAAAGAUGUGAACUACUGUGGCCAGAGGGUGAACUAUGGUAGAUUGCUUCUAAAGAUGGGAGCAGCAAUGUUUCUUCCCAAGCAACAUUCUCCUUUGAAAUGUGACUUUGCCACCCAUCGCAUCAAGAGGUAAGGUCUAUUCUCCCUCCUUCUGAAUCUGUCCCUGUGACUUGCUUUCACCAAUAGAUUGUGGCAGAAGUGACAGUGUGCAAGUAUGAAUGGGGUCUGCCAGUACCAUGUGGAGCAAAGGGAAGCAUCCUCAUGGAUGAUGCCUGAAUUCUUGAUCCACAGAAUAGUGAGCAAUAAAAUGUUUUUUUCUUUUUAAGCAGCUAAGCUUUGAGGUCAUUUGUUACACAGCAAUAGAUAGCUAAUACACCAUCAAAGAGUUCUGGGGUCAUUUCAAAACAACUCAGGAGGCAAAUUGAGGAGUUUCUCACUAAAAGUGGGGAACUUGCACAUGCCUGUAAUCCCAGCUACUCGGAGGCUGAGGCAGGAGAAUCGCUUGCACCCAGGAGGAGGAGGUUGCAGUGAGUCAAGAUGACGCUACUGUACUCCGGCCUGGGUGACAGAGUGAGACUC
Molecule: long non-coding RNA, 2636 nt
Organism: Homo sapiens (human)
Lineage: Eukaryota; Metazoa; Chordata; Mammalia; Primates; Hominidae
Source: Ensembl